This is a non-coding RNA of Podarcis lilfordi (Lilford's wall lizard), 72 nucleotides long. NCBI's taxonomy places the organism in Eukaryota, Metazoa, Chordata, Lepidosauria, Squamata, Lacertidae. The record is from the annotation of a GenBank genome assembly.
AAGUCCCUUGCACAGCACUUCCCAAACAUCCAGUAAUUGUUGGGUGCUUGGGAAGUGCUGUGCAGGGGCUUU